CGACCAGUGCAACAGAGAGCAAACCGCCGAUGGCCCACGUAAGUGGGAUCAGGUAAGGGUGAAAGGGUGCGGUAAGAGCGCACCGCGCGGCUGGUAACAGUCCGUGGCACGGUAAACUCCACCCGGAGCAAGGCCAAAUAGGGGUUCAUAAGGUACGGCCCGUACUGAACCCGGGUAGGCUGCUUGAGCCAGUGAGCGAUUGCUGGCCUAGAUGAAUGACUGUCCACGACAGAACCCGGCUUAUCGGUCAGUUUCACUU
Molecule: RNase P RNA, 259 nt
Filed under: Salmonella enterica subsp. enterica serovar 4,[5],12:i:-
Lineage: Bacteria; Pseudomonadati; Pseudomonadota; Gammaproteobacteria; Enterobacterales; Enterobacteriaceae
Description: partial RNase P RNA component class A
Rfam family: Bacterial RNase P class A
About the family: Ribonuclease P (RNase P) is a ubiquitous endoribonuclease, found in archaea, bacteria and eukarya as well as chloroplasts and mitochondria. Its best characterised activity is the generation of mature 5'-ends of tRNAs by cleaving the 5'-leader elements of precursor-tRNAs.
Source: RNAcentral